Molecule: long non-coding RNA, 4329 nt
Organism: Cygnus olor (mute swan)
Lineage: Eukaryota; Metazoa; Chordata; Aves; Anseriformes; Anatidae
Exons: 5
Source: RefSeq, a predicted model, not a curated record
GCGCGGGCUGCUGCCGGGCGAACCACACCUCCAGCAGCUUCUCGGUCCCUUCGAAGAAGUGUGCACCGUUCUCCUUCAUGGCAUGUCAUCGUCUUGUCUUGGUUGGAGCCCCUGCCUUGCUGACCCUUGACUGCAGUGUAGUUUCACCCCAUGACUUGGACCACGUGUUUGAAGUUAAAAGGAUUCUCAGGAAGUCAUCGUUGAAACAGUGAAAAAUAUGUUUCUCCUAAAGAGUGCACAGGUAAGCCCAAAGUUCAGUUUAAGACAAUGUUCCUUUUGUUUUCAUGUAGUCUGUGCUGGCGGUGAAGCAUGUUCAUUCUUUAUUGAAUUGACUGAAGAAAACCAGGCUGCCUCCUCUUCAUACUGGUCGUUUCUGCAGAGACAUCCGAUUUUCAUAUUUCAACAAGGUAUUCAAGACUUGUCAUCUGAAGAACUCCUCUGGUCUGGAUACUCUACAUCCAAACUUGCCCAAGAAAAGGGACUGAAAGACUGAUCCAUUUUUGCUGGAGAGAAAAUCAAAUUAAGUUUCUUAGAAAACUUAUGAAGAAUGGCUACAAAUACCCCUGUUCAGGUGUACAUCCCUACAUCGAUCUGAGAGCUUUUGUCUUCUGCCUUUACAGCAUCAGCACUGGAAUUUGUCUUAUCUGCCCCGAGAUGUCUGCAUUACUGAUGUCUGCAUCUCAGCUAGUUCUCUAGACCUCGAGUCUGUAACUGACAACCCCAAGGUUUAAAGAUAUGACUACAUGAGCAAGUAUGCUGUCAGCCUACAACAGCUGACGCUGCAACAUCAGAGUACAUUUAUACGUAGCCGCUUAGCCUGACACAACCCAGCCUCACUAUGUGUGGUUGUGUUGGGUGGAGCCACAGCAAAAUGUCAGGAGGCAUCCUUGUACCAACAUGUACUGCACUUCUCUGUGCAGAAUUCUUCCAGUGUCAAGAUAUUAGAAUCAGUCUCCCACAAUUCUGUAUUACAUGGUGUUUUCUAAAAUAAAACUUUUUUUUUUAAUUAUUAGAUCUAUAUUUUGCUAUUUUGUCUCUCUGCCAUCAACAUGAGAUCUGCAAAGGCUAAUGUACCUUACAUUUCUGGUUCGCAUAUCUCUGAUAUACGUGGGACUUCAGCAACCCCUUCUAAAAUAGCGAUGAGUGGUGGGAGAAGAAUGACAAAAUUUUGGGGAGGAGAAAAAAAAUAACUUCAGACCACGGAAUAAUAAUGUUUCUGGGCCUGAAAAACACACCGGAGGGUGAAAGUGCAUGUUGCAGAUUUUGGAUGAUGAGUGCUGGAUGAAGAAAUUCAGAAUGAAGAAAGCCACAAAAAUGAAAUUGCAUGCUGAAGAGGUAGUGGCUCUGGCCCUUCAUCAAAGAGACAUCAGAGCGAGAGCCACUCUGACGACAGAUAAGCAAAUACCAAUCACGUUCUAGAAGUUUGCAUUGCUAGCAUGCUUACCAGACAGUGGGCAAUCAAUUGGGCUGGAAAAUCCACAAUAAAGACAGUUGUCAUGCAGGUCUGCAAGACCAUUAAGUAUCUCCUACUUUCCUAAGAUUAUGACUCAGGGUGGUGCCUGGGGAACAGAGCCAUCUGAAGCAGGGGAUGGUGAGAUUGUGGUAGGGAAAUAGACGGGACGCAUCCUGAGUCUGCACCCUCUGAAUACAAAUAGGCAUAUUUGUCCAUGAUGUAAACCCUGGCUGAUCAAGAAAGACGUGCAAUUCUUACAGGAAACAUUUUUCUUUGACUGUUUUGUUUUGUUUUUUAAUUGAAGCAUGGACAGUGAAACUUAGCCUUUCCUUCUCAAAUGCAGAAACCAAAAAGGAGAGAUUCAAGAGAUUCAAUGCUCAUUUCAGCAAAUGCGAGGUGACUUUGGAUGACUUAAAACUGACAAGCAGCACAUCGUAUUAAGACUAGUUGCAGUGAAGAGAGCAUGCUGUUGUAACCGUUGGGUGCUUUUAGUUCUGUUUUUGUGAAGCCUGCUUUAAGCAAUAGGGAAAGCUUGGCAGUAGGUUGUCAGGUUGAGCAGGCACACGUCAGGCUAGUUGUUAUAGCAUUGCUUUGUUAAGGGUAACAUUAGAUCCCUGUAGUAUUGUGUUCUCAGGAUGGCUCUUGCUUGAUAGUCGGUUUUCCCAUUAUUGACCUUAGAAAAAAUAAUCAGUUUCAAAUUAACUACAUUCAUUACUGAAUUCUCCUCAGUACGAGAUUGGAGUCUGUAGGUUGGAGGAGUGUUUGGAAAUAUCCAGGAGCAAAAGAACAGACUUGGGAAGCAAAGGGAGUGCACAGCACCAACGCAGGGUACUGCUGGAGGUCCUGCUCUUGCUGAUGUACACAGGACCAUAAGGCACGUCUCUGGGAAUGGGUCUGCAGAACAAAAUAACUGGUUCUGACAGCUCAGUAUCCAUAUUAUGUGAAUCUCAGGGGUCUUUACUUUUGGAUUGUUUCUAGUCUGCUCCCAAGACUGAAUAUCCAUUAAAAAACACAAUGUGUGCUCCUGCUGUGCACUCUCACAUACAGUUUUAGCCUAUAGAAAUCUAGUUUGUGUACUGUAGGACCACUCUACAGCAUGGACCAAAGCAUGGUACAAAGAAUGGGGACAAUCAAAAGUUUCCUUUCAAAAGCAAGCUCCAAUUCCAAAACCAUGUGCUAUUGUAGCUGCCCUUUCCGUAUGGCUGGGCCAAUCUCCCUGGGGUCCACUUCCCCUCUCUCCCCCUCCCAGGAGCUCAUCGCUUCUGGCCCCAUUCUCCCAGUGAGAAGUCCCCCAUUGCCUUCGGGAAUUCGGGAAGGACGAGUAAAGGGCAAGGCAAACUGGGCUGCCUGGAGGGAGAGACAGGGUUACACGUGUACCUGCGGCAGCUGGGAAUGGGGAGGGAGCUGGGAACCAGAACAGAGUGGCCUGAAGACUACAAAUAAUACAAAUACACAUGUUCCAGCUUUAAAUGCAGUGGUGUUUACAGAGAUUUUUGCUAUUCAGUUAGUAUUGGAAUUCCAAAGCAAGCCUAUUCUUACACUAAGGAAACUGCUGGGUUUUGGUUGUUUUUAACGUGAAUAUAUGAGCACUCGGUGCAGUGGUAAUGCACUCUACAGUUUUACAUUCUCAAGCCAAACUGGUACUAUAGACAACUUCACAGGAAUUUAAUAUUGUAAUUUAAAUAUUCCUAUUGAAAACGGACAAAAAAAAAAUCAAUGACUGAAUACGUAUGUGAUUGGGAAUAGAUCAACACUUUCUGGGAUUGUUAGAUUAAUGGGCUAAAGCUGCUAACAUACAGUGAAGGCAAUUGUGUCUUUUCGUAGCCAGCCAGUGCGUUUUGUUGUCAAAAUGCUGCUGGUUUCCCUGGCUGGGCAGUCAACCUGGGAAAGAGGCUGGCAAUAGCUGCUGUGCACGGGGUGGACGAGGAAAUACAGCUCUGCAGACAAGAAAAUUGAAAAAAUUCCAAGGAGGAAUUUGAGCCUGGGGGGAAGGCUUGUUUCUUUUGCUCCGUGACUCCUAAACUUGUUGUCUGAAGCAGUGAUUGAUAACAGAUGCACCUAUCUGCCUCUCUGUUUUUCUUGAAGGAUGUUGUUUUUCAGCAACGUGAUGUUUUCUGUGAUCUCCCCAGCAUGUUGUCCCUCUGCUGCGUAUGUUCAUCUGUAUCAUCAUUCUCCAUGGAAUAAAGAGGCUCUGGAAGCACGUUAUCCCUUGUUUAACCCGUUUUUCCCCUUAAUCUAUGUCAGUCUUUCAGCAGUUAUGGAAGCCGUGGUUUUCUAGGACCGUCCGUCUAAGAGAUCGUUAAGAUUUGCUCAUUAACAGGAAAAAGAAGGAACUUGGAACUUCUUUAGAUAACUUUCCCUGCAUGAAGGUCUUCCAGAUACAGAUACAGAGGGUCUGUUUCCUUCCAGACAGCUUGCUCUGGGUAUCAGCAUUGCUGCAGGGAUGCUAAAUUGCCAGGGACUGCCUGUGAGCCCAAAGUCCUAUGGAAGGGGAACUGAUAUAGGGGACCUUGAAGUAUGAGCACUGGGGCAGUGGAGGCAAUGUUAAUACGGGAAGCAGUGCUUAUGGCCACCAUAAUGUCCUCAGCAGUGACAAGGGCCCAGGUACCCAAGGGCCUAUCUUCACUGAGUAAAGAUAAGAACAGCUUGGGAACUCAAGUAUGGGAAGGGAUCAGUAAGGAUCCAGGAGGAUAAAAAGGACAUUUUUCUACAGUUAAAAUACAUAUUCUGAGGUAAUCAGAUUUUUUCCCUUGUCUGAAAGGCAAAGAAAAGCCAGCUGCCAUUAAAAGCCUGUCCCUUUGUUAUGCUAAGCCACAGAAAAAAAGAGAAGGCAGUCCUUUUGAGAAGAAAAAGUCAGGUUCAAGCAUUGCUGCAAA